AUCCAGACGACGAGACCCAGAUAGGAGGAAAUGCACAUCCUGGAU
This 45-nucleotide non-coding RNA is filed under the name Trichobilharzia regenti. The record is from RNAcentral. Lineage: Eukaryota; Metazoa; Platyhelminthes; Trematoda; Strigeidida; Schistosomatidae.